UACCAGAAGGAAGAUAACAUGAUUAUAACAUGUCAAGGAAAUUAUCAGAUGAAGUUUUCCGAUCAUCACAUGUCACAAUUGUAGUGUAUGCAAAAUAGAGAAUUUAUGCCAUCAGACGUUUCUGAUCAUAGAAGCAGCCAUCUAAAGACUU
Molecule: long non-coding RNA, 151 nt
Organism: Hibiscus syriacus
Lineage: Eukaryota; Viridiplantae; Streptophyta; Magnoliopsida; Malvales; Malvaceae
Exons: 4
Source: RefSeq, a predicted model, not a curated record